AGUCAAAGUUAGAAAAAGGGAUGUUAAGUACUGGGAGUCAAAGAUAGAAAAAGGGAUAUUUAAGUACUGGGAGUCAAAGUUAGAAAAAGGGAUAUUUAAGUACGGGGAGUCAGAGUUAGAAAAAGGGAUGUUUAAGUACUGGGUGUCAAAGUUAGAAAAAGGGAUGUUUAGUACUGGGAGUCAAAGUUAGAAAAAGGGAUGUUAAGUACUGGGAGUCAAAGUUCGAAAAAGAAAUAUUUGUACUGGGAGUCAAAGUUAGAAAAAGGGAUGUUUAGUACUGGGAGUCAAAGUUAGGAAUCACACAUGACAGACUUAAAAGGUAUGUGAAGAUUUGUAUAAAUGCAGAGCCAAAUAUAAGGACGGUUCGGACGAAUCAUUGAAAAUGUUGAGAGCAAGAGACAUAUCGGACUUAACAGAGAUGUGGUAUGCUUGCAAACGAG
RNAcentral lists this long non-coding RNA (440 nucleotides) under Mytilus galloprovincialis (Mediterranean mussel). Lineage: Eukaryota; Metazoa; Mollusca; Bivalvia; Mytilida; Mytilidae. The record is from RNAcentral.